Molecule: transfer RNA, 74 nt
Filed under: Burkholderiaceae bacterium
Lineage: Bacteria; Pseudomonadati; Pseudomonadota; Betaproteobacteria; Burkholderiales; Burkholderiaceae
Description: tRNA-Cys
Rfam family: tRNA
About the family: Transfer RNA (tRNA) molecules are approximately 80 nucleotides in length. Their secondary structure includes four short double-helical elements and three loops (D, anti-codon, and T loops).
Source: RNAcentral
GUGCGCAUGGCCGAGAGGUUAGGCAACGGAUUGCAAAUCCGUCCAGCCCGGUUCGAUUCCGGGUGCGCACUCCA